GGGGAAUUUUGGACAAUGGGCGAAAGCCUGAUCCAGCAAUGCCGCGUGAGUGAAGAAGGCCUUCGGGUUGUAAAGCUCUUUUGUCAGGGAAGAAACGGUGAAAGCUAAUAUCUUUUGCUAAUGACGGUACCUGAAGAAUAAGCACCGGCUAACUACGUGCCAGCAGCCGCGGUAAUACGUAGGGUGCAAGCGUUAAUCGGAAUUACUGGGCGUAAAGCGUGCGCAGGCGGUUUUGUAAGUCUGAUGUGAAAUCCCCGGGCUCAACCUGGGAAUUGCAUUGGAGACUGCAAGGCUAGAAUCUGGCAGAGGGGGGUAGAAUUCCACGUGUAGCAGUGAAAUGCGUAGAUAUGUGGAGGAACACCGAUGGCGAAGGCAGCCCCCUGGGUCAAGAUUGACGCUCAUGCACGAAAGCGUGGGGAGCAAAC
Molecule: ribosomal RNA, 425 nt
Filed under: uncultured bacterium
Lineage: Bacteria
Description: bacterial SSU rRNA
Rfam family: Bacterial small subunit ribosomal RNA
Source: RNAcentral